AUGGAGGAAUGCCUUGAUCAGCAGCAGCAGAAGAAGAGCAGCAAUGGUCAGCUCCAGAGGCUCGAGGGCAUCGAGGAGGAAGGCGGCCCGGCCCCGGCGGAGAAGUGGCCUCCGACGACGGUGCGGGCGCCGGAGACCCCGACGGAGACCAUGGAGUUCCUCGCAAGGUCCUGGAGCCUUUCGGCCGCGGAGAUAUCCAAGGCGCUCAAGGUCCUGAGCAGCAAGGGCGUCUGCGACAUCCCCGACGUGGGCGUCGUCGCGGGCGCAGGUAAAGAGCAGAGGUCGCCGCCGCCGCCAGUUGACGCGGCAAUGGCGGUGUCGCAGGCAGGCGACGGCGGUGUGGGAGGAGGAGUGACGAGCCCGCCGUUCUCUCCCAGGGCCGGUAGCAUGGACGCGCAGCUCCUCCGAGCCACCGCCGCCGCGGGGAGGGCAGGGGGCGGCAAGACGACGAUGGGCGCGUGGAUCAAGGAGCAGAAGGAGAAGAAGCGCGCCGAGGCCCGGUCCCGCAACGCGCAGGCCUACGCGGCGACGUCCGUGGCCGGGGUGGCGGCGGCGGUGGCCGCGCUGGUCGCCGGCGCGGUGUUCUCGUCCUCACCCGCCCCUCCUCCUCCUCCCCCCGCCACGAGGGGCGACGGCGGGGCGAAGACGGCGGCGGCCAUCGCGUCGGCGGCGGCGCUGGUGGCGUCGCACUGCGUGGAGAUGGCGCAGGCGAUGGGCGCGAGCCACGACCAGAUCCUGGGGUCGAUCCAGUCGGCCGUGAACGCGCAGGCGAGCGGCGACAUCAUGGCGCUGACCGCCGGCGCGGCGACGGCGCUGCGCGGGGCCGCCAUGCUGCGGGCCAGGCUCCACAAGGAGAUCCAGGCCACCGCCCUGCCCGGGGACGCCGGCAGGGCGGCCCCGGAGCGGGACAUCUCGCCGCUCAUCUUCGUGUCCAGAGGCGGCGAGCUGCUCAAGCGCACGAGGCAGGGGAUACUCCACUGGAAGCUUGUGACGGCGUACAUAGACCCCAACUUCCAGGUGAUCAUCAAGAUGAAGAGCGCGCACAUGGCGGGCACGUUCAUCAAGACCAAGAAGUGUGUUGUGGUGGGCGUCCGGGCGGAGGUGGCGGCGUGGGCGGGGAGGGAGGUGGAGGAGGGGGGCCGGCGGAGGGGCUACUUCGGGGUGCGGACGGAGGAGCGGGUGAUCGAGUUCGAGUGCCGGAGCAGGCAGGAGCAGCACAGGUGGGUGCAGGGCAUCACCGAGAUGCUCAACCGCCGCGACAACAUGAACAUGAACAUCACCCACCUUGUUGUAAACUAA
Molecule: ribosomal RNA, 1299 nt
Filed under: Triticum aestivum (bread wheat)
Lineage: Eukaryota; Viridiplantae; Streptophyta; Magnoliopsida; Poales; Poaceae
Description: partial small subunit ribosomal RNA
Source: RNAcentral